GCCAUCUCAAGUUUUUAAAUACUGUUUUAGGUAGAUCCAAACCUAAACAUUUUAGUUAUAUGUACUGUCCUUUCUUCUGUAAAAUGUUUCUGGUCACUUUUAAUGAAAAUGAAAAGAGAGAGAGAUUUAUCCAGAUGAAUCCAGCACCUCGGGUGCUGAGGGAGCUGGCGGGGGUCAUUGCUGAGCCGCUCUCGGCCAUCUAUCAGCAUUCCUGGCUAACUAGAGAGGUCCCAGAGGAUUGGAGGCUUGCUGGUGUGACUCCCAUCUUCAAGAAGGGCCGUAAGGAGGAUCCGGGGAACUACAGGCCUGUCAGCCUGACCUCGGUACCGAGGAAAGUUAUGGAGCAAAUCAUCUUGGGUGAGAUCGCACGGCAUGUGCGUGGUGUCCAGGGGAUCAGGCCCAGCCAGCACGGGUUCAUGAAAGGCAGGUCGUGCUUGACCAACCUCAUCUCCUUCUACAACUGGGUGACCAGACUGGUAGAUGAGGGAAAGGCUAUUGAUGUAGUCUACCUGGACUUCACCAAAGCCUUUGACAUGGUCUCUUACAGCCUUCCUCUGGGGAAACUGGCUGCCCGUGGCCUGGACAGGUACACACUCCUUUGGGUAAGGAACUGGCUAGAGGGCUGUGCUCAACAGGUGGUGGUUAAUAGAGUUAAGUCCAGCUGGCGACCUGUUUCAAGUGGUGUCCCCCAGGGGUCAGUAUUGGGGCCUAUCUUGUUUAAUAUCUUUAUUGAUGACCUAGAUGAGGGGAUUGAGUGUACCCUCAGUAAGUUUGCAGAUGACACCAAGUUGGGAGGUGGUGUUGAUCUGCCUGAGGGUAGGGAGGCCCUUCAGAGGGACUUAGAUAAGCUGGAUCGCUGGGCUGAAGUGAAUGGAAUGAGGUUCAACAAGGCCAAGUGCUGGGUCCUGCACUUUGGCCACAAUAACCCCAUGCAGCGCUAUAGACUUGGGGAUGAGUGGCUGGAUGACUGUGAAGAGGAAAGGGACCUGGGGGUGUUGGCUG
Molecule: long non-coding RNA, 1002 nt
Filed under: Phasianus colchicus (ring-necked pheasant)
Lineage: Eukaryota; Metazoa; Chordata; Aves; Galliformes; Phasianidae
Description: lncRNA (ENSPCLG00000008555.1)
Source: RNAcentral